This 572-nucleotide ribosomal RNA is filed under the name uncultured fungus. RNAcentral describes it as "eukaryotic LSU rRNA". It matches the Rfam family "Eukaryotic large subunit ribosomal RNA", at positions 62 to 648 of the family's 3401-position model. The record is from RNAcentral. Lineage: Eukaryota; Fungi.
AAACCAACAGGGAUUACCUCAGUAACGGCGAGUGAAGCGGUAACAGCUCAAAUUUGAAAUCUGGGUCUUUCAGGCUCCGAGUUGUAAUUUGUAGAAGAUGCUUCGGGUGCGGCUCCGGUCUAAGUUCCUUGGAACAGGACGUCAUAGAGGGUGAGAAUCCCGUAUGUGAUCGGUUGCUUGCGCCCAUGUGAAGCUCUUUCGACGAGUCGAGUUGUUUGGGAAUGCAGCUCAAAAUGGGUGGUAAAUUUCAUCUAAAGCUAAAUAUUGGCCAGAGACCGAUAGCGCACAAGUAGAGUGAUCGAAAGAUGAAAAGCACUUUGGAAAGAGAGUUAAACAGUACGUGAAAUUGUUGAAAGGGAAGCGCUUGCAACCAGACUUGCGCGUUGCUGAUCAUCCGGGGUUCUCCCCGGUGCACUCGGCCUCGCUCAGGCCAGCAUCGGUUUCGGUGGUGGGAUAAAGGCCUUGGGAAUGUAGCUUCUUUCGGGGAGUGUUAUAGCCCUCGGUGCAAUGCCGCCUACCGGGACCGAGGACCGCGCUUCGGCUAGGAUGCUGGCGUAAUGGUUGUAAGCGAC